GAAAACACAAGGAGCAGAAGACAGCAACUCACAUGGGAUGGUGGGAGAAAGGCAGGCCUCCUGCUGGCUGGAGACAACACCCUGGAAAGGCACAUGGCAGGUGGCUUUGCCAGGCAGGGUGGACCCUGUUUGACUUUGCCCUGAUCCAAUAAAGCAGACUCUGAAAAUAAAAACAACACGAAAACAAUGGCGAGAUCUGCCUCCUUAAAGGGAAAGCUAAACUAAAAGGAAUCAAAACAACUUGACUCCUUGGCUUCUGCUUAUUGCUUCAUCUACCACCUUUACUAAGGAUUCUGUGGCCACUGUCUCUUUCCUUGGCCCCUGCAUCAUCACCUUUUCCUGUGCUCCCAACCUGGUCUUGAAACAGCUCCCAUAACCAUUGUUUCCCUUCAUCUGGCUGGUACACUUCCUUUCCUAAGUCUCCUGCCUUUCGUAAUACAGUCGCAUUUCACUUUCCGGGCGAACCGGGACACCAUCCCAAGGUGUAUUUUGGGUUGUUUGUUUUUUAAAAUGGAGCUUGUAAAACUCUUCUCCUAAUGUUAAGCGUUGCUGGGCAGGUGUCUCUCUUACAACCACAGACUGGCCAUUUGCUCUUGGGUGAUUACACUGAAGUCCAGCCAUUCGUUUGCCAUUUAGUGUUAAAUCUAGGAACUUGAUCCAGCCAUUAGGCUGCAUCCCUGUCUUUCCCACCGCACCCUGUGGGAGCCAGUGUAACAGGUGGAUGGAGCUACCUUGCCUGUCAAUCAUUUGGCAUCACUAUGAUACCAGGUCAUAGUUUUGGCUGUGUGGGUGUGUUCAGGUGCUAUGCAAACCCCAAUGGCAAUUAAAUUAAGUCAUGGCAUGGUGAUUCUGGUUUUUGUUGAACUGUGGACAAUGCUGGUCAUAUUAUGUGACAGCAGCCUCAGGCAGCGAGCGGGCUUUUGGUACCAUUAAGGGAGAUGGAUGUGAGUGACAGUCGAGACCCAUAAAGCACAAUCCGGCAGGGAAUCCAACUGAAAUAAUGGGAAUUGCACAACAGCGUAAUGUUGUUGGAUUUUGCCCCUCUGGCCCCAAGAUGUCUUGGGGUGGCCUUAGCGUGAGAUAGCCCCUUCUAGCAUGAGACGUGAGGAGGCAGAAAUAAGGUGAUGGUUACCAUUGGAGUUUGACCAUAAGGAUGUACAAUGGGUCCUCCUGGAUGAGUUCAGAGACCCAUCUACAGUAGUUUAACAUCGUGUUCUCAUGGUGCCUGGUAUGUUUGGAACUGCCUUCCAGGAACCCUGCAUGUUAUCACCUCUGUUCCUUCCUUUAAAUCUCUCAUUUAAGCCCAGCUUUUUCAGGAAACAUUUGGCUAGUUUUCAUCCCUUGCUGUUAACUCAAGAUUGUAUUGAAGACUAUUGAAGCACGUGCAACCAAAACAACUGCAUAUUGCUUUCCUCUUUACUCCUGCCUCUUCUGUUUCCCUUGCGUGCUGAAAUUUUAGAAUGUAAGCGCCUUGGGGCAGGGACCUGCCCUCUUGUACUGAUAGUUAUUUAUAAAAUAAAUGAAUAGAGAGUUGCCAACUGACCAAGGGAAAAUGCCUGAGCUGCUCUUGUGCACUUAGCAACAGUUUGGUGUGCAGCAAAAAUCAUGGCAAACUCAUUAUGGCAUGGAGAUAAACACCACUGCCAGCUAACAUCUGCGUACCAAGCCGCUGUUGAAGACACAGCUAUGGCAGCUGGUUGAGAAGCUGGCAUCCUAGAGAUGUUGAACUAAACAUAGCCUUCCCAAACCUGGUGCCUUCCUGAUGUUUUGGACUACAAAUAUUGGCCACGCUGCCUAUGGCCAACAGGAGUUUUAGUCCAAAACAAGUGCAGGGCACUGGGUUGGGGAAGGCUGAACUAAAAUAUACUGGUGAAUCAUCUACUCAACCCAGUUCCAGAGCCAAUUGCUCAUAGGUUAUUAAUCAACUGCCAAGCAAGUUCCUUCAAGCCAGCAUGCCUGUGGGCAAGGAAACCACGAGCCGCAGUGCACACUGAUAACUGUGUCCAAACAUUUUGCUACACGUGCAAGUUUAUCUUAAUUACCCAAGUGAGAGCAGCAGGCUGCGGCACGAAUCGGUCAGGGUCAAAAAGACAAAUUGCCCUAACGCAGCUGCUGGCAUAUGAGAUGACCUUGGUUUUUGUAUAAACUUCCUUGGGGAUUACGUAUUUUUUAAAAAAAAAACAAAAAACAAAACCCCAAACAACAUCAAAGGACUUCACUGUAAAAAAGCUGAAAUGUGGAAUGCUGCCCAAGUUAGGUGAAUUCUAGGUUAGGAGGAGCAGCUAGCAAAACUCACGCCGACCUACAAAGCUCGCCUCUCUCAAAAACUUCUGCAGUGCCUCUGUGCCAAAAAAAUAUAUCCAGGCAAAGAGGGUGAGCGAAUGCCUAGACACCUUGAUUGGUGUUUUGUAUUCUGCAGCUGUUCUGUGCCUAUGUGUGACUGCAUUUGCAAACCCAAUCUGACUGCACCAAAAAAUAGCAUGGGGGUGGACGGUGGGGGGAGCAAAUCCCUUGGCUUUCUCUGGAAAGAAGGGUAAUAAAUCUCUCUGCAGGGAAAACUGCAGUGCUGUGCAUAGGCUUAAAAUGUGUGUGUGUGUGUGUGUGUGUAUGUGCUGUUGGAAUAUAACCUUGUUGUUUUAUUUAAAGAGACUGCCCUACAUUCCAGGCUACCUCAGUUUCACAAACACCUACAAUAAUACCACACCACACCCCAUACAGUUCUACCUUCCAACCAAGCGCCGGAAAACCUGUGUACAAGCAUACACAACCACCCACCACUACCUUGGCUCUGAAGAACCUCACAGAAACCCCGCUUUCGCCCAAACUCCCAUUUAAGAGGAACAAAUAUUCCUGAACUCCAGUCUCCAAAACUGCUCCAGUACCCUAUGGGAGCCUCGAGGCUUUUCUCCCCAGCUCCCAAUUUCAGUGCGCUCUUUAAUGCACCACCACCACCACACCUCCUCUCAGCUGCAUUCAGCCAACUCACCAGUAUGGAGUAAUGACACCUCUCUCUUUUUUUUGCUGCCCAUGACAGCCAUUUUGUGCUGGCACCCACCACAAUGUAAGAGUACCGGCACUUCCAUUUUUUAUUAUAAAAUGAGCACCUGACCCCCCCCCAGUCUAGUUUAACUCCCCCCCCCCAAUAAAAUAAACACAAAGCAGUUUACAAAGUUCACAGAACUCAGCAAAUGAAGUCUUUCAAAUUAAUUUCAGCAGAUUGCCUGAAACUUAAACGUUGGCACACACAAAUAUCCCUCUCCUUUUAGAACAGGGUUGGGAAGCUUCCUGGCAUUGUAAGGACUCCCAUCAUCCAUGACUAUUGGCUAUGGAAUAUAGGAAAUUGCCUUAUACAGAGGCCACAGUCACACCAUAAAAUUUAAUGCAUUGUGACGCCGCUUUAAACGGUCAUGUCUUAUCCAAAGGAUUCUGGGAGCUGUGGUUUGUUAAAGCUGCUGAGAGUUGCUAGAGUACCUCUAUUCCCCUCAGCAAGGUACAAUUCCCAGAGUGGUUUAACAAUCAAUCCCUCUUUUAACAACUAUAGUUGCAAUCAUUAUCUGAGGUCCCUCUUGGGACAUUUUUCCAUAUGUGGUGGGAUUGUAAAAUUGUAAAGAAAUAUUGGGAAAUGAUUUGUAAUGAAAUGAAGAAGAUAUUUAAAAUAACUUUUGUUUAAAAACCAGAAGAUUUCCUACUAGGUAUUACCGGAGUGGAUUUACUAAGAUCACCAAAGAACUUAUUUACGUAUGUAUGCAACUACAGCCGCACAAAUAUUAUUAGCACAACAUUGGAAAGAAGAAGGUGUCCCAGCUAAAGAAGAUUGGCAAGUUAAAUUAAUAGAAUAAGCUGAAAAUUUUGCAAAAUUGACAAUGAAACUAAGAGGAAGAGACAAUUGCAAAUUUAAGGAAGAUUGGAAGGAGCUUAUUGCAUAUAUUCAAAAGCAAUGUACUCAAGUUAAUACAUUGGCAGGGUUUUAAUACUACUUGUAAUUUAAUUUUGAAUGGAUAAGUAAUACAACGGUUUACAAUGGACAUGCAGUACGUUGAUAAACAAUGGAACCAAGGAAGGGACUAGCGGGAAGUCAAUUUAUUUUGAUUUAAUUUGAGAUUGUUACUGUUUUUGUGGGGGUUUUUUUUGGAAAAUUAAUAAAAUGUUAUUUUAAAAAAAAUAUGAGGCCCUUCUUUGCGUGCCUUCUCCGUAAGAGGCCCAGAGGGUGGCAACAUGAGAAUGGGCCUUUUCAGUGGUGGCUCCCCACUUGUGGAAUGCUCUUCCCAGGAAGAACAUCCCCUGGCACCAUCAAUACAUAUCUUUAGGCAUCAGGCAAAAACGUUCCUGUUUCUCAGGCCUUUGGCUAAUUGAACAAUCUAUGGCCUUUUAAACUGUGUGUUCUUGUUUGUUUGGUUGCUAUGUUACGUCUUUUUGUGGUUUUGUAUUGUAAACUGCCCUAUGAUCCUCAGAUGAAGGGCGGUAUAGAAAUUAAAUGAAUUGAUAAAAUGUUUUUCUACUCUACAGUGACUGGGGGUGACUCUCCAGGGUUUCCAUGCAAGGGUCUCCCCAAGCCCUACCUGCAGAUCCCAUUGAUUGAACUUGGAAUCGUCUGCAUUCUUUACUACUGAACUGCAGCCAUUCCCCACACUGGCUAGAACGGAUGUCCGGAAAUAUCUGGAAGGCCCCGGUUUCCCAAUUCCAGCUUUAGCACAGAAGUGUAUCUCCUGCUCUGAAAGGCCAUAAAAAGAGAUCAUUUCGCCUUUGCUCCAUAUUGCACCGUGGGAGAAUCACCCCUAGAGAAAGUUCCAUAGAUCUGAUCUCUUGCAGAAUCUCUCCUCCCCCAGGUUAUUCCUGGCUCAAUGUGCAAACAAUGGCACGGGAAGUAGAUGUGUGUUGCAAACCAGUGGGAAAGUGACUGUGCAAAACUCAGCGGCUAAAUGACGCAACAACGUCAGUCUGUCCCACUUAACUCGGUGAGAUUUCAGAGUGGUUCACUUUGGCCGGAUCAUUACCUAAUUUAAUCCUAUGGCCAAACCAGAAAUUGAUGUUUGGCACAUGGCUUGGACUUUAGUGGCUGACUUUUUAAAUUCAUAAUUGAUGGCCACAUUCACACCAUACAUUUGGAACACAAUACCACUUUAAAUAAGUCAUGGCUUCCUCCAAGGAUUCCUGGGAACUGGAAGUUUGUUUAGGGUGGUGCUACAACUCCUAGAGUUCCCUAUGAAUAGGGAUUGACUGUUAACACUAAUCACUGUUAAUUGUAGCUCUGUGUAGUUAAUCGGGAACACCUAACACCCUUAACAAACUACAGCUCCCAGAAUUAUUUGGGGAAGCUAUGGACAUAGCCAGGAUUUUUGUGGGUGGGGCAGGACUUUUGUGAGGACUUUUUUUUUUUUUAAAAAAAAUAUUUCUUAAGAUUUGAAAAGUUACAAAAAGAGAAAAUAGAAAACAGCAUACUAAGCAGAAACAGAACAUCACAUCAC
Molecule: non-coding RNA, 5465 nt
Organism: Podarcis lilfordi (Lilford's wall lizard)
Lineage: Eukaryota; Metazoa; Chordata; Lepidosauria; Squamata; Lacertidae
Source: the annotation of a GenBank genome assembly